Molecule: long non-coding RNA, 589 nt
Filed under: Gallus gallus (chicken)
Lineage: Eukaryota; Metazoa; Chordata; Aves; Galliformes; Phasianidae
Description: lncRNA (ENSGALG00010016582.1)
Source: RNAcentral
GUAAGAUUACUGCCCCAAAUCAGCUGACGAAAGCCAUUGCAUUCUAAGUAAUUCGGUUAUAUAACUUUUCGUAAGGAAAAAAAAAACCCACGCAGAAAGAUGCAAGGAAGUUUCUGGAAGAUCAUUUCUUGCCUAACUUUUUUUUUUUUUCCUGAAGAAAUGUUGUUCCAGGGAGUGUCUGACUAGUUCUGCAGCUUGGCAAAAAAGCCAGACGUUACCUCAUAGCUGCGGCCAGACAGCCCAUUUCUAUGCCAGGCAACCACUGCAGAAGCACACAGCACAGGGCCCUGCUUGAUUAGCACUUCUGCUGUUUCGAGAGUCCUGGAGUGUUUUGUUCAAGGAGCAGUGCGGAGGUUGGUGUGUCUCGGUGACCAACUGGCAGUCUGAGCUGCCUGCUGCCUCUCCUCCCUGGGAAACUGAGACGUCGCAAAGGCACUACAAAAGAGGCCCCCAGCACAGUGCCGUGAUGGCACAGGGACACGCCGUGACCGCACCGCGAUUCCUUUUGGCCCUGCUGACCAGAAUCCUGAUCUCAUGUCCCCCGUUAUUUUCUGAGCUGCUGCUGACUUCUAAGGCCUGCUGCACGGCU